RNAcentral lists this ribosomal RNA (354 nucleotides) under Bifidobacterium pseudocatenulatum. Its description in RNAcentral is "bacterial SSU rRNA". It matches the Rfam family "Bacterial small subunit ribosomal RNA", at positions 158 to 524 of the family's 1533-position model. Lineage: Bacteria; Bacillati; Actinomycetota; Actinomycetes; Bifidobacteriales; Bifidobacteriaceae. The record is from RNAcentral.
GGGUGGUAAUGCCGGAUGCUCCGACUCCUCGCAUGGGGUGUCGGGAAAGAUUUCAUCGGUAUGGGAUGGGGUCGCGUCCUAUCAGGUAGUCGGCGGGGUAACGGCCCACCGAGCCUACGACGGGUAGCCGGCCUGAGAGGGCGACCGGCCACAUUGGGACUGAGAUACGGCCCAGACUCCUACGGGAGGCAGCAGUGGGGAAUAUUGCACAAUGGGCGCAAGCCUGAUGCAGCGACGCCGCGUGCGGGAUGACGGCCUUCGGGUUGUAAACCGCUUUUGAUCGGGAGCAAGCCUUCGGGUGAGUGUACCUUUCGAAUAAGCACCGGCUAACUACGUGCCAGCAGCCGCGGUAAU